GACGAACGCUGGCGGCGUGCUUAACACAUGCAAGUCGAACGAUGAAGCCGGAGCUUGCUCUGGUGAAUUAGUGGCGAAUGGGUGAGUAACACGUGAGUAACCUGCCCUUGACUCUGGGAUAACUGCUAGAAAUGGUAGCUAAUACCGGAUACGACCCUCGGAGGCAUCUCCAGGGGGUGGAAAGAAUUUCGGUCAAGGAUGGACUCGCGGCCUAUCAGCUAGUUGGUGAGGUAACGGCUCACCAAGGCGACGACGGGUAGCCGGCCUGAGAGGGUGACCGGCCACACUGGGACUGAGACACGGCCCAGACUCCUACGGGAGGCAGCAGUGGGGAAUAUUGCACAAUGGUGCAAGCCUGAUGCAGCAACGCCGCGUGAGGGAUGACGGCCUUCGGGUUGUAAACCUCUUUUAGUAGGGAAGAAGCGAAAGUGACGGUACCUGCAGAAAAAGCACCGGCUAACUACGUGCCAGCAGCCGCCGUAA
This 483-nucleotide ribosomal RNA is filed under the name uncultured bacterium. Its description in RNAcentral is "partial 16S ribosomal RNA". It matches the Rfam family "Bacterial small subunit ribosomal RNA", at positions 28 to 523 of the family's 1533-position model. The record is from RNAcentral.